GCCCAGGUGGUGAAAUUGGUAGACAUACCACUUUGAGGGGGUGGCGCCGGUUGCGGUGUACGAGUUCGAAUCUCGUCCUGGGCA
This 84-nucleotide transfer RNA is filed under the name Bacteroidales bacterium. RNAcentral's name for it is "tRNA-Leu". It matches the Rfam family "tRNA". Rfam says of the family: Transfer RNA (tRNA) molecules are approximately 80 nucleotides in length. Their secondary structure includes four short double-helical elements and three loops (D, anti-codon, and T loops). The record is from RNAcentral. Lineage: Bacteria; Pseudomonadati; Bacteroidota; Bacteroidia; Bacteroidales.